GGGGAAGCCGGUCGAAAUCCGGCACUGACCCGCAACGGUGGGCCGCCCAGCUUUCAGGGGUGGCGAGUCCGAUUACCC
Molecule: non-coding RNA, 78 nt
Filed under: Rhodococcoides kyotonense
Lineage: Bacteria; Bacillati; Actinomycetota; Actinomycetes; Mycobacteriales; Nocardiaceae
Source: RNAcentral